AAGGUCUGCAUACAGAGAUUCUGGAACUAUUGGUUUGGAGGUGCCCGAUGGAGCCCAGGAACCAAGGAACGGGAGGCGCCCCUGCUCUGAUCGUGCGCCUGGCUUGGCUGCCUCCUGCAGCCCAGCGCUACCUGCACAGCUUCUAGGGGAGGCUGCGCCUCCCACGCAUCCUAAUCACAUGUCUACAGGAAUUCAGAGGCCGAGGAGCCCAUGGAGGCCUGGAGAGAGGAGGCAGGGUGUCCCGGAGAAGGAGGAGGGCAGAGCACAAGCUGCUGCGUUUCUACUCUGCCUCCUGUGUCAGCAACUCUCCCCAUCCACAGGAAGGAGUCUGGGCAGAACUGAAGUUUGUCACAAGGAGCUGCUAAACAGAUCAAAAGGCAUUGAAGGAUGGAGUGACAUGAUAUAUGACCUGCCCAAUCCUUGACUGCACAUCACAUAAGCAGUCCUAAGAUGUGAAGUAUAUGAUGCCACCAGUUGAAUGGAUUGAAGCUCCCACACGUACACUGUUGGUUUCAGAUUCUCUACUCUACAACAUCAGAAAAGAAUCUAUUUUUGGUGAGAUAACAAAUGUGCUAUGUUACUCUAGAAUAAAGACAUCUGUUUACUUACAAUUUUAAGUGAUAAGAGUUCUGCUUCUAUUUUACAGUAGACAAUCUAAAGCUAAAAGAUGUAAAUCCAAACAGUGUCGGGUGUUGAAACAUCUACUCCCAGCUUCCUUUCACAUCCCCUUCUGCAGGCAGUGUUCCCCACUGUUCAUCCCUGGUCUCCUGCAGUGCGUCUGUUUCAGACUGUGCUUCUUUAUACAAAGUCCUAGCAAGUAAUCCAGUGCAACACCAGGGGGCUAAUUCACCUCUGCUUCCUCAGCUAGUAUUGGCCAAGGUGACCAGUCCACUUUUGGAACUCAGCAGCACCCCCACAAUUUUCAAAUAAUGUUACCCAAAUGCACGUUCCUUGUCCUGAGCUCUACAAACCUGUAAUUCAGGCAUAGGGAAGCAACUGACACACUAUCUUCUUGUUGGGUAUGAAGGGGUUUUUUUGCAUAGAUUUCACGGCAGAGGUGUGUCCAGACCUGUUCCACCUUCUCACUGCUAGAAACCUGGUCCUACAGACAGGGAGUGGUAGCUUAUGCAUAAGUUGCUGUCUUUCUCUGGUCUUAGACAUGUGGCAGGCACUUUCAGAGAAAAAAUUCUGAGGCAGUGAAUUCUGGUUGUCUGUAGCCUACUGAAUUACAUUCCUCCUUAUUUAUUUCCUUAGUUCAUGAAACUAAAGUAGAGAUACUGAUGUCUUUGCCACUUUGUUAGUCUGAACGCAGUUGUGUAAAGGCUCUAUCUAAAACCAGUUACUGGAUUUUUCUGUUUCUUUGGUCCUAUCCUCCUGGGAGAGGCCCCAGUGGUUACUCAUGUAUUUAUGUGGCCAGACAACCCUAAGCCUUCUAAGGCAGAGGAAGGGCUCAGGGAGUAGAUUUGGAAAGUAGAGAAAGGAGAAAAGAAUUCUGCCUUCAAGAAAGGACCUCAUUUACUGCUUUUCAGCAAAUUGUUCAAGAAUAGGAUAUACCUGCUGUGCGCAAAACGGGAGAAAAACUGACUUUCAAGGGCUCAUGAGCAGAACAAGGAAGGCAGGCUAUUGCAGCUCUGAGACUGUCCCAUAUUGCGUCCAAUGAUGGUGCCGGGAAACUCCAACUGUGCACACCCGAGCAGGUAGGAAUGUGCUGGAACCACACUGUAAAACCGCUCAGGCUGUGAUGCAUCGGUCCCAGGUGCACUUGUCCAUCUGCUACACAUGCAGGCUCCCUGCCCUCUGAAGCACUUUUUAGAUACAAAGGCAGGUGACCACCUGUAUGUACCCCAAAGACUGUGGCAGACAAAGUUAGAGGUGACAGAGUGACACAACAGAGGCCCCAAGCCCAGGCCAGUAAAAUGGCAAAGAGACAAGAAGUCCACGCACAGAUGUAAGUGAGGAUUUUCCAGGGUCGGCCAAUUAUGGCAAAGCAGCAAGAGUGCCCAUUGAAGGCUAGCGACAGGGCUCCACAGGGGUGACCAUGGAGGCAGGUGCCCAGGCACAGGCGUCUCCAUAGGCUCAGCUGGAGAAUGUGAAAGAGCUGAUCUGCACACAGCUCGCAGUUACCUGGAGGAGCCAGGAGAGCAUGCUCAGAGCAGCACUUGUUAUUCAGACCUGCAAAUUUGCUUUGAUCCUGUAAUAUCCUGCCACUGUGGCAGCAUGAGAGAUGGCUGACACAAAAGUGUCAGAUGACUUAUAGCACGUAAAGAAUUGUCUCUGAAGCCUGAUUUGUAUUUCAUCGAUAUUUGAGUGAAAACGACUUCUGCUUUUUUUUUUUAAAGGGACAUAAUGGAUUAGGCUGAAUUACCAAGUAUUUAAUACAAAAGGAUUAAUUGGGUAGGCUAAAUGUAGAUACAUUUCUGUCAUUUCAAACAGGUGUAGUGACCUUCACUCACAUCCUUAGUGAAUAUAUUAUACAUACUUGUAUGGCUUCAGAUUCAAGUCUCUUCUUCCAAUGUAGAAGAAAUCAACAGAAGGAGGGCAGUACACAGAAAUUCCCCUCAUAUGCACUCAGUUAUUUUGCAGCAGCUUACAUGUUCCUCUGUAAUUAUUCUUCCACCUCUCCCAAAACAGUCACUUAUACUUUCUCUGUGUCCAGCCUUUCGGGGUUCUGCUCACAGAAGCCUAUGGUCUGGCAGGGAAGGCAACAUGGCAGCUGAAGGUGUUUUGUUCCUUCUCGUGUACAACCUUAUGUAAUACCUCUAUAAUUGGGUUGUACAUGUCUUGAAGGAUCCUCUCUUUUAUUCUCUGGCUUUUGCCUAAAGUAGGCUGAGAGGUCGCCUGAUGCCUGCACAGUCACUGGCUGCAUGCAUACCAGGGAGCAGAACCAGCAGGAGAGAUGAACAGACUCCAAGGGGUUAAGGUUUCUAACACCGGCAACAGCAGAGACACAGGAGGCAUGAGAAACAGAUAGGAAGAUGAUCCUGUCUUCCCCACAGGAAAUUCAUUCAUUCAUGGUGACAACUCACCAGAAUUCAGAACAAGAGAGACCAUGGUCUGCACUCAGAACAAACAGUGGCUUGCUGCUCCCAACAAAGCAAAGAACAUUUCUGAAAUGGAGAUAGGGAUGUGUGUGUGUGCAUGUCCAAGUGUAUGCAUAUGUGUGUGUGUGUGUGUGUGUGUGUGUGUGUGUGCGUGUCAUGUGCAUACAUUUGGGAAGAACCUCUGAUCAGAUAUGGGGAAUGUGAAAAUUGUAAAAGAGAUCUAGUCUGGUUACUCACGCAGGCAAAUGUGUGUGUGUGGGGGGAAUAGCUAGCCUUAAACAAAAAUGUGCGUGUGUAAAUAUGUUGUGUAUGUAUGUAUUUGCAGGAAUACUAUCAGAAUAAAGUUUACAGAGGUUGGGGUUGGCAUAUGAUAUGAAGUUUUAUAUAAGAAACCUCAUUACUCUAAAUUAUAAAAUGCAGAACUUAGUAUUUAAAAUACUGAAUAAGCCUUCAAUAAGAUUGGAGAAAAAAGUUAUAUGGUUUUCUCCUUGCUUUAGUCUGUGAGUAUGUGUUUUCUUUUAGUCUCAUAUUUUUCAAAAUCAUUACCCAGUUUGUAGUCAAUUAAGUGUUUCCUGGUUAAAUGAAGUUGUUUUAUAAUUGUAUAUGUUUUUGCAUCUCCUUUGUACCACAGUUUACCUUUAAUUAAAUGGAUUUGCUGUCCAAAUUGAAUUGACGGAUGUGAAACGAUGAUUCUCUAUUGAUUAAACACUUUGAGUAAAAUAGCCAUUUCGUUGCCUAAGGAGAUCUUCCAGAGGUAACAGUCACACUUGCAAUUAUACAGAACACAAUGGGGCGUGCAUAGAUAUCUUCAUUAAACAAUCGUGAGAG
Gorilla gorilla gorilla (western lowland gorilla) is the source of this 3869-nucleotide long non-coding RNA. RefSeq lists it as uncharacterized. The record is from RefSeq and is a predicted model, not a curated record. The transcript is spliced from 4 exons. NCBI's taxonomy places the organism in Eukaryota, Metazoa, Chordata, Mammalia, Primates, Hominidae.